RNAcentral lists this unclassified non-coding RNA (423 nucleotides) under fungal sp. RNAcentral's name for it is "partial internal transcribed spacer region". The stretch from base 1 to 46 matches the Rfam family "Eukaryotic small subunit ribosomal RNA", at positions 1786 to 1831 of the family's 1831-position model. The record is from RNAcentral. Lineage: Eukaryota; Fungi.
AAGUCGUAACAAGGUUUCCGUAGGUGAACCUGCGGAAGGAUCAUUACCGGAUUGCCAGCGGCAGGGGAGUUCUUUGAGCUUGUCUGUGCGCAGCAAACACGGCAUAAGUUGAGAGAUAACAGCCUCUGAUAAUACGAGAGAGAGAGAGAGAGAGCCGAUGCUAGGGGAGAGACUAGCGGAGGCGCUGACUAUGCGAAGGUGUCUGAUCUACGCGCCACUUAUGCCCGAAAGGGUUUGGCAGUAGAGUGACUUUGCCCCCCAGGGGGUAAUGCCGCCAGACUUAAUAAGUGAGAUACUACACACUGCCUUCAUAGUCAGUUCGGUGCCGAUUACAUGUGCUUCGAGCUCUAUGUGACUAUGAUAAAUAUUAGAUAUAUAACUAACAGUUGAAAACACAACUGCAAACGGUGGAUCACUCGGCUC